GGCAAUUGUAUUGUUAGCUGAGCACCAGUUGGCAGGUGAUUAGCAAUUGCAUUAUAGACGUAUAUAUGUACGUAUGUAUAGUUAUCAUCACAUUUUUGUUUUUGUUUUCUUUUUCUGUCUCAGUAAAUAGUUUUUAUCUCAACCUAUGAGUCCUAUUUUGUUUCCAAUUCUUUUCCUUGUCCCAGUUUCACAGGGGAAUUAAGAGAACAGCUUUGUGGUGUUUUGUUGCCUGCUGGGUUAAACUGAAACAUUCUACACAGCAACCUGCCCUGAGAAGACACAGAGAAUCCAUGGUCCCAGUGGGUGUUUUGAGAUGAUCUUUCUCCAAAAUAUCGAAGUUUCCUGGAACGCUUAAGAGAAUCAUUGCAAAUUAACAGUUUUAACAGAUAAGCAGACGCAUGGUGUUUUUGGACACAAAACUUACAUAGUUUGACCUGAUCCGGUAG
Long non-coding RNA from Gallus gallus (chicken), 446 nucleotides. The record is from Ensembl. Lineage: Eukaryota; Metazoa; Chordata; Aves; Galliformes; Phasianidae.